GAUGAAGAACGCAGCAAAAUGCGAUAAGUAAUGUGAAUUGCAGAAUUCAGUGAAUCAUCGAAUCUUUGAACGCACAUUGCGCCCGCUGGUAUUCCGGCGGGCAUGCCUGUUCGAGCGUCAUUACAACCCUCAGGCCCCCGGGCCUGGCGUUGGGGAUCGGCAGAAGCCCCCUGUGGGCACACGCCGUCCCUCAAAUACAGUGGCGGUCCCGCCGCAGCUUCCAUUGCGUAGUAGCUAACACCUCGCAACUGGAGAGCGGCGCGGCCAUGCCGUAAAACACCCAACUUCUGAAUGUUGACCUCGAAUCAGGUAGGAAUACCCGCUGAACUUAAGCAUAUCAAUAAGCGGAGGA
RNAcentral lists this unclassified non-coding RNA (352 nucleotides) under soil metagenome. RNAcentral describes it as "partial contains 5.8S ribosomal RNA, internal transcribed spacer 2, and large subunit ribosomal RNA". The stretch from base 1 to 120 matches the Rfam family "5.8S ribosomal RNA", at positions 35 to 154 of the family's 154-position model. The record is from RNAcentral.